This 253-nucleotide ribosomal RNA is filed under the name uncultured bacterium. RNAcentral's name for it is "partial 16S ribosomal RNA". It matches the Rfam family "Bacterial small subunit ribosomal RNA", at positions 524 to 776 of the family's 1533-position model. The record is from RNAcentral.
UACUGAGGUCUCAAGCGUUGUUCGGAUUCAUUGGGCGUAAAGGGUGCGUAGGCGGCGCGGUAAGUCGGGUGUGAAAUCUCGGAGCUUAACUCCGAAACUGCAUUCGAUACUGCCGUGCUUGAGGACUGGAGAGGAGACUGGAAUUUACGGUGUAGCGGUGAAAUGCGUAGAUAUCGUAAGGAAGACCAGUGGCGAAGGCGGGUCUCUGGACAGUUCCUGACGCUGAGGCACGAAGGUCAGGGGAGCAAACGGG